This 255-nucleotide ribosomal RNA is filed under the name uncultured bacterium. RNAcentral describes it as "partial 16S ribosomal RNA". It matches the Rfam family "Bacterial small subunit ribosomal RNA", at positions 524 to 776 of the family's 1533-position model. The record is from RNAcentral.
UACAGAGGUCUCAAGCGUUGUUCGGAUUCAUUGGGCGUAAAGGGUGCGUAGGUGGCGUCGUAAGUCAGGUGUGAAAUUUCGGAGCUUAACUUCGGAAACUGCAUUUGAUACUGCGGUGCUUGAGGACUGGAGAGGAGACUGGAAUUUACGGUGUAGCAGUGAAAUGCGUAGAGAUCGUAAGGAAGACCAGUGGCGAAGGCGGGGUCUCUGGACAGUUCCUGACACUGAGGCACGAAGGCCAGGGGAGCAAACGGG